UACGUAGGGUGCAAACGUUAAUCGGAAUUACUGGGCGUAAAGCGUGCGCAGGCGGUUUUGUAAGUCUGAUGUGAAAUCCCCGGGCUCAACCUGGGAAUUGCAUUGGAGACUGCAAGGCUAGAAUCUGGCAGAGGGGGGUAGAAUUCCACGUGUAGCAGUGAAAUGCGUAGAGAUGUGGAGGAACACCGAUGGCGAAGGCAGCCCCCUGGGUCAAGAUUGACGCUCAUGCACGAAAGCGUGGGGAGCAAACAGG
This 253-nucleotide ribosomal RNA is filed under the name uncultured bacterium. Its description in RNAcentral is "partial 16S ribosomal RNA". It matches the Rfam family "Bacterial small subunit ribosomal RNA", at positions 524 to 776 of the family's 1533-position model. The record is from RNAcentral.